Molecule: ribosomal RNA, 1346 nt
Filed under: uncultured bacterium
Lineage: Bacteria
Description: bacterial SSU rRNA
Rfam family: Bacterial small subunit ribosomal RNA
Source: RNAcentral
GACGAACGCUGGCGGCGUGCUUAGCACAUGCAAGUCGAACGGAAAGGCCCUGCUUUUGUGGGGUGCUCGAGUGGCGAACGGGUGAGUAACACGUGAGUAACCUGCCCUUGACUUUGGGAUAACUUCAGGAAACUGGGGCUAAUACCGGAUAGGAGCUCCUGCUGCAUGGUGGGGGUUGAAAAGUUUCGGCGGUUGGGGAUGGACUCGCGGCUUAUCAGCUUGUUGGUGGGGUAGUGGCUUACCAAGGCUUUGACGGGUAGCCGGCCUGAGAGGGUGACCGGCCACAUUGGGACUGAGAUACGGCCCAGACUCCUACGGGAGGCAGCAGUGGGGAAUAUUGCACAAUGGGCGGAAGCCUGAUGCAGCAACGCCGCGUGCGGGAUGACGGCCUUCGGGUUGUAAACCGCUUUCGCCUGUGACGAAGCGUGAGUGACGGUAAUGGGUAAAGAAGCACCGGCUAACUACGUGCCAGCAGCCGCGGUGAUACGUAGGGUGCGAGCGUUGUCCGGAUUUAUUGGGCGUAAAGGGCUCGUAGGUGGUUGAUCGCGUCGGAAGUGUAAUCUUGGGGCUUAACCCUGAGCGUGCUUUCGAUACGGGUUGACUUGAGGAAGGUAGGGGAGAAUGGAAUUCCUGGUGGAGCGGUGGAAUGCGCAGAUAUCAGGAGGAACACCAGUGGCGAAGGCGGUUCUCUGGGCCUUUCCUGACGCUGAGGAGCGAAAGCGUGGGGAGCGAACAGGCUUAGAUACCCUGGUAGUCCACGCUGUAAACGGUGGGUACUAGGUGUGGGGUCCAUUCCACGGGUUCCGUGCCGUAGCUAACGCUUUAAGUACCCCGCCUGGGGAGUACGGCCGCAAGGCUAAAACUCAAAGGAAUUGACGGGGCCCCGCACAAGCGGCGGAGCAUGCGGAUUAAUUCGAUGCAACGCGUAGAACCUUACCUGGGUUUGACAUGGAUCGGGAGCGCUCAGAGAUGGGUGUGCCUCUUUUGGGGUCGGUUCACAGGUGGUGCAUGGCUGUCGUCAGCUCGUGUCGUGAGAUGUUGGGUUAAGUCCCGCAACGAGCGCAACCCUUGUUCACUGUUGCCAGCACGUUAUGGUGGGGACUCAGUGGAGACCGCCGGGGUCAACUCGGAGGAAGGUGGGGAUGACGUCAAGUCAUCAUGCCCCUUAUGUCCAGGGCUUCACGCAUGCUACAAUGGCUGGUACAGAGAGUGGCGAGCCUGUGAGGGUGAGCGAAUCUCGGAAAGCCGGUCUCAGUUCGGAUUGGGGUCUGCAACUCGACCUCAUGAAGUCGGAGUCGCUAGUAAUCGCAGAUCAGCAACGCUGCGGUGAAUACGUUCCCGGGGCU